RNAcentral lists this ribosomal RNA (253 nucleotides) under uncultured bacterium. RNAcentral describes it as "partial 16S ribosomal RNA". It matches the Rfam family "Bacterial small subunit ribosomal RNA", at positions 524 to 776 of the family's 1533-position model. The record is from RNAcentral.
UACGUAGGGUGCGAGCGUUGUCCGGAAUUACUGGGCGUAAAGAGCUCGUAGGUGGUUUGUCGCGUUGUUCGUGAAAACUCACAACUCAAUUGUGGGCGUGCGGGCGAUACGGGCAGACUGGAGUACUGCAGGGGAGACUGGAAUUCCUGGUGUAGCGGUGGAAUGCGCAGAUAUCAGGAGGAACACCGGUGGCGAAGGCGGCCUUCUGGACAGUGACUGACGCUGAGACGCGAAAGCGUGGGGAGCAAACAGG